AUGGGGAGGGCGCCGUGCUGCGACAGGGCGGCGGUGAAGCGGGGCCCGUGGUCGCCGGAGGAGGACGACGCGCUGCGCGACUACAUGCAGCGCCACGGCAACACCGGCAGCUGGAUCACCCUCCCCAACAAAGCCGGGCUCAAGAGGUGCGGCAAGAGCUGCAGGCUGCGGUGGCUCAACUACCUCCGCCCGGACAUCCGCCACGGCGGCUUCACCGACGAGGAGGACACCAUCAUCUACUCCCUCUACAGCCAGCUCGGCAGCAAAUGGUCGCUGAUCGCGUCGCAGCUGGAGCGGAGGACGGACAACGACGUCAAGAACCACUGGAACACCAAGCUCAAGAAGCGCCUCGCCGCCGCAGCCGCCGCCUUCUCCACCCGACGCUCCCCGCCCUUCAUGCCGCUGCCGGCGCCGGCCGCAGCGCACGCGCAGCCGUCGCCGCUGCUCCCGCUCUCCGUGCCGACCGUGAAGGCCGAGGCGUACACCUACGACGACUUCUUGGCGCCGACCGCCGGGCUGCAGGACCCGUUCGCCGCGGAGGGCUCGUCUUCGGCCUCCGCCGCGCUCCAGGACCCGUUCGCCGCAGAGGGCUCGUCCUCGGCCUCCGCCGCGCUCCAUGACACGCUCGCCGCCGAGGGCUCGACGUCGGCCUCCGCCGCGUCGUCGGGGUCCAACUGGUCGGCGGUCGACAACGCCGGCGGGUUCUUCGUGGACUUCUGCGCGGCCGGCCCCGACCUCGCUGCCGCGGACCAGUUCCUCGGCGGCUUCUACUACCCUCUCGACCCGACCCUGUCACUAGUGUAG
RNAcentral lists this ribosomal RNA (804 nucleotides) under Triticum aestivum (bread wheat). RNAcentral describes it as "partial small subunit ribosomal RNA". Lineage: Eukaryota; Viridiplantae; Streptophyta; Magnoliopsida; Poales; Poaceae. The record is from RNAcentral.